RNAcentral lists this ribosomal RNA (358 nucleotides) under Oryza glaberrima (African rice). RNAcentral describes it as "rRNA EPlOGLG00000000326". It matches the Rfam family "Eukaryotic large subunit ribosomal RNA", at positions 621 to 983 of the family's 3401-position model. Lineage: Eukaryota; Viridiplantae; Streptophyta; Magnoliopsida; Poales; Poaceae. The record is from RNAcentral.
GCAACGGCCUGCAGGCUCCCCAUCCAACCUAUCUUGAAACACGGACCACGGAGUCUGACAUGCAUGCGAGUCGACGGGUUUUGAAACCUGGAAUACGCAAGGAAUCUGACAAGUGGCAGGCCCUCGCGGGCCAUACCUCUGGCCGCCCUGAUCUUCUGUGAAGGGUUCGAAUUGGAGCACGCAUGUCGGGACCCGAAAGAUGGUGAAUUAUGCUUGAGCGGGGCGAAAUCAGAGGAAAAUCUAAUGGAGGCUCGAAGCGAUACUGACGUACAAAUCGUUUGUCUGACUUGGGUAUAGGGAUGAGACCAAUCGAACCAUCUAGUAGCUGGUUCCCUCCGAAGUUUCCCUCAGGAUAGCU